CAAAGCUAAAUAUUUCGAUAUGCCAAGUAAAAAGGUCCUAUAUAUCAUAAUCAUAGUACUUGCAAUUUUAGCAUCAAUCUUCAUCAUUUUGUCUAUUGUGAUGCUGGCUAAGCCUAGGAAGUGCACAAUCGCCGACAUUUUCGACCAAAAUGCUACCACUAAAAUCCCCAUAAAUAUAAUUGAAUAAUUAUCAUUAUUUCAUUAUCAUGAUCUACCCGUAAUCUUGUGCGCUCGUCUGCCAAGUCUCGACACUUUUAGUCCAAUCGUCAAAGGGAUCAGUCGAUCGAAUCAAAAGUUGUUGUAAACGAGGAUGAAAAUGGUUUUUACUUGCUCCUUAAGCCCAAAAACUGUACAUGGGCCGAUGUGAUUGAGGAUUCUGGAAAAUUUAUGCCAAUUGGAUCAGAAAUAGUCACUUAAUUGCUCGUUUUUUAACCCACAACUGUUAAGUAAAGAGAUGUUCUGGCCGUGGUAAAGAAGGAGAAAUGUGCAUCCAGAGGUUCGCUUCGUACUUGUUUCCAGUUAACCGUAUCGAAAGAUGAACUUUAUACAAAGCUGUGAUCAAUGCCAUAACACUAGGCUACAACUACAACUACGACUGCAGAGUGGGGUGAAUGGGGUGAAUGGGGUGAUUGGAUGAGGCAUACGAAUAGUUGAUGCUCUACGUUCUACUUUAAAUUGGACUCACACAAAUAUCCGUCUACGUACUAAACACUAAGUAACUCUCAUUCGCCGGCUCAGCUGCACCAGCCGUCUCAUACUAGACAUACGCCUGAGCGCGCGUCCGGGGCUCCUUGCCCUGCAGUCGCUCCACGAAGUUCCGCC
This is a long non-coding RNA of Scaptodrosophila lebanonensis, 822 nucleotides long. RefSeq lists it as uncharacterized. The transcript is spliced from 5 exons. The record is from RefSeq and is a predicted model, not a curated record. NCBI's taxonomy places the organism in Eukaryota, Metazoa, Arthropoda, Insecta, Diptera, Drosophilidae.